AAAGAAUGCUGUCUAUGAGGAGGAUGAGCUGGAGGAGGAGCCCAGGAGCACUGGGGAGCUGAGGCUCUGGGAUUACCGGCUCCUCAAGGUCUUCUUUGAUCUGCUUCCUGGUCAUGUCCUCAUCCUACCUGGCGUUCCGUAUUUCUCGGCUAGAGCAGCAGUUAUGCUCCUUGAGUUGGGAUGACCCAGUCCCUGGGCACAGGUAACAGCCACUUGGCCUUUGUCCCCAUUCCUUCUCCAAGAAGAAUGUUCUGGGUGCUAAGUCUCCACCAAUGAUCCCUGUGGUUUAUGCUGCUGCUGUGCUAAGACUGCCUAUGAAGGAAAAUAUUCCAGAUCCCUCCUCCUCCCCGCAGCUCUUCUCUUCCCUCUAUGAGAGAUCUGAAGUACGUGUUUACAAAGUAACUGGCUUCUACAAUUUUUGGACUCAAGCAAAAAGCCAGAUUUUUUGGAACCAACUGAGGAAUUCUGUACACAAAGCUUCAGCAAACACUUAGAGAAAACAAACAAACAAACAAACUGGGUCCUUGGAAACAGUUCUGGCACACAGGCAGAACACUGGAGGCCACCUCAAAGGACAGAGGCCAUGCUUUCGCAUUUGGAAUGUGGCUCUGCCACACAGCUCACUCCUAUGGUGGGGUCAGAGGUCAGAACACAAACCACCCAUGUGGGCUCUGCUCCCUCCCAACACUCUGUGUUCCCACAGGGCUUCUCUGCGGGCAGCCAGGCACCUGUCAGGCUUGGGCAGGGGCCUGCUGAGAAUCUGUGAAUGCAGAGGGGAGGGCUCAUGGCCAGGAUUCCAGCCAGAGAUGAAUUUCCAUGCUCUGGGCCAGGGCUCUGUGCCGGCCCCUCAUGAGGUGGCUGGCUGCAUUAUGGGGAGAUGCUGCCCACGGCGGAGAUGGUGGCAGUGGCUGUGAAGAACAGAGGUACCUGAAUUCUGUGUCCUCAGCUGUCACUUUCCGGUGAGACAAGUGGAGCAGGGCCUUUGAUCACUGUGGUCACAGACCUGGUACUGGGUUUUGCCCUUGUGUGCUCAAACAUUUCUAAGGUGUCCCAAGCCCUGGAAAUAGGGAAGGGAAGGGUGGAGGCUUGGAUCUGAGGUCUUGCUGUCCACUCCCUGCCUGCCUGCCCGCAUCUCAGGCAUGGCCAACAGCAGCCCGUUGAGGGGGGCUUGUCUGGACAGUUGCGUGUGAUGGUGUUGAGCCAUCACAGGGCAGAGGUCACUUGUGUCACCCCCAUAGUCAUUGGGUUGCAGGCCAUGGAGGAGGGACCUCCACUCCAUGGGGCCUAUUCUCCAUUAAGGUGGAAGUGUCCACUGUGGGCCUAGCACAGUGCAGGAACCAGGCCAGGGGGUCUAUCUCAUACCUCUGGGGACAGGAAAGGUAGAGGAUGAGGAGGUUGGACGUGGUGGUGGCUUUGCCUUGGAUAUUCCUCUUCCUCUAUCAAGGCCUUCUCUUCUUCUCUGUGUCCCACAACUCUGGCCUCAUCGCCCUGGGACUCCCAUCUGCUAAGAUAGUGGCUUUGGAGGUUCUGGAAGGGCUUAGUGAGGAGGCCAGAAGUAUCAGGGAAAGUUGCUGGUGAUGGGGUGGGCGGUGUCAGAAGCAGCCACUGUUUUCCCCUCUUCAGACACUGAGAGAUUAAUCAGGGAAUGAAAUCCAGGUGGAAAUUAUUUAUUGUGAAGCAGACGACUGUCUGUCCUGUUUAUGACAAACCCAAAUGAGAAUUGGAGGGACUACCAGUAAGUGGUCUCUUCAUGCUCUCCCCAUCCCAGUUUUUAGGAUGAAAUUUAGAGCCUGGCCUUUUGUGUUGCUUGCACCAAAUCUGUAUGUCUCAGGUGAAACUCACUGUUCCAUGAAUGGUCAUCCUUUUUUUUUUUUUUUUUUUGGAACCAGCCCCUUUCACCCUUUCAUCCGUCUUUUUUUU
This 1920-nucleotide long non-coding RNA is filed under the name Homo sapiens (human). Its description in RNAcentral is "HSALNT0222414". Lineage: Eukaryota; Metazoa; Chordata; Mammalia; Primates; Hominidae. The record is from RNAcentral.